GAUGAACGCUGGCGGCGUGCUUAACACAUGCAAGUCGAGCGAGUGAGUUCUUCGGAACGAUCUAGCGGCGGACGGGUGAGUAACACGUGGGCAACCUGCCUCAUAGAGGGGAAUAGCCUCCCGAAAGGGAGAUUAAUACCGCAUAACAUCGUUGGAAGGCAUCUUUCGAUGAUCAAAGGAGCAAUCCGCUAUGAGAUGGGCCCGCGGCGCAUUAGCUAGUUGGUGAGGUAACGGCUCACCAAGGCGACGAUGCGUAGCCGACCUGAGAGGGUGAUCGGCCACAUUGGGACUGAGACACGGCCCAGACUCCUACGGGAGGCAGCAGUGGGGAAUAUUGCACAAUGGGGGAAACCCUGAUGCAGCAACGCCGCGUGAGUGAUGACGGCCUUCGGGUUGUAAAGCUCUGUCUUUGGGGACGAUAAUGACGGUACCCAAGGAGGAAGUCACGGCUAACUACGUGCCAGCCGCCGCCGUAAAAC
This 479-nucleotide ribosomal RNA is filed under the name uncultured bacterium. RNAcentral describes it as "bacterial SSU rRNA". It matches the Rfam family "Bacterial small subunit ribosomal RNA", at positions 28 to 526 of the family's 1533-position model. The record is from RNAcentral.